Molecule: transfer RNA, 85 nt
Filed under: Gammaproteobacteria bacterium
Lineage: Bacteria; Pseudomonadati; Pseudomonadota; Gammaproteobacteria
Also listed under: 1 other name
Description: tRNA-Leu
Rfam family: tRNA
About the family: Transfer RNA (tRNA) molecules are approximately 80 nucleotides in length.
Source: RNAcentral
GCGGAUGUGGUGGAAUUGGUAGACACGCUGUCUUGAGGGGGCAGUGGCGUAAGCCGUGCCGGUUCGAGUCCGGCCAUCCGCACCA